Molecule: non-coding RNA, 5946 nt
Organism: Rattus norvegicus (Norway rat)
Lineage: Eukaryota; Metazoa; Chordata; Mammalia; Rodentia; Muridae
Source: RefSeq, a predicted model, not a curated record
UGCCCUGUGACAACUCUCCCCUAAGUUAACGGGACACUGUGAGUGUGCCUGUGUGCGUGUGUGCUCACAUGUGUUGAUAUGUUCACAUGUAUGUGUGGGCGAGUAUCCAUGAGUUUGUGGUCAACCUUGGCUGCCAUUCCUCAGGUGCUGUUUACCUUUAUUUGUAAAGGGUUUCUCCCUACCUUGGGACUCUCCCAGUAGGUUAGGCUGACUGUUUGUAGCUACAGUGAUCUGCCUGUAUCCACUCUUCAGCCCCGAGAUUAAAAGUAUGAGUCACCAUGCCUGGCUUCCCCCUCUCCUGUUCCCCGACACCCAACAUUCCCUUCCUCCCCCCCUCCCCCGUCAAACUCAAGACCUUAUGCUUGUAAAGUGAGCACAGAGACAUUUUCUUGGCCCCUAAGCUUGGCUCCUGAGGACACACCAACCUCUGUCACUACCUGGACACGAGAUGCCCCAUGCCAACAAAUACAACCCGAAGGUUGAGGGGUUUGUUUACCACUGUAUGCAACAAUGCUUUAGCCCCCAGGAGUCGGGAGCUGAGGAACAACUGUUGCUCUGACAGCACUCAGUUCCAAGGUGCCUGCCAGCCUGUCAGAGGCCAGUGACUAGAGAUGCUUGCCCUCUGGCCUGCUUGGCACACGUCAUUCACGCACACCUCAGUGCCAUUGUCCUCUCUCCAGCUUUGCUGGGAUUGCACUUUCCAGUGGGAUAACAGCACAGAGGCAUUUGCGGUUGGCUCUGUUUCCUGGAGAAAGCUGGUUGAGACAGCCUGCGCGUGAACGCCCCAAGGAGGUUGGGAUUGAAAGGAUGUGGAAUGUAGCUCCUUUCUUUGCUCUGCAGAAUCUUCAUUUGACUCUGGAUUUCUAUAAGACCCACACUGGAUCAGGCCCCAGGCUAGAUCUGUUUAAGAAGCUUUCUCCACAUAGCUCUUCUCUUUUGCUCUUCAAGUUUAAAGGCUGGGAAGGUCUGUGAAGCUAGACACACUGUAGCAGCCAUGGGGAGAUGCAAGCUAUUCUUUAACCACUGUAAGAGGGUCAUAGGACAGUCCCCUCUGUACUCACCCUGUUACUAGCCUCUCUUACUUCCUGUCUUAGCUCACUGGAGACCAGAACCUGGGAAGUAAAACGACCCCAGAUCUCGCUCCCUUAACAGUUGUGUUCUCCUCUUCUCCAAGAGAAAACUAAGCAGGGCCUGCCACCUCGGGCCUUGCAUGUGCAGCAGCAUGGGUCAGGGUUCCUUGUCUCCCCCACAGUCCCUUAACCACCCUGGGCAAGCAGGCUGCACAUGUCUGACUCUGUUCUUAGUUACAGAUGGAUGUCUCAUAUGUAUGUAGAUUUCAGCGUGGAUCAAAAGCAAGUGAUGCAUCAAACGCGGCAAGUUCAGGCUGUGCCGUCGACGGGUGUGUAACCCAGCAUGCUCUGCUGACCUCUCAUUGAGUUCACUGAUUGGAACCUUGGUUAGCAGGGCUGUGCUUAUCCUAGGAGAGUACAAAGCGGUCUGGCCAUGGUGCAUCCUACAUCUGUAGCUGGUCUUUGCCACUUUGUGGGUCCUUCUUUUUCCCACUCUUUAUUUCCCCCAUUUCACCCCCUAGCCUAGAUAGAAGAGAAAGAAAGAGGGGAGAGAAAGAUAGACACCCCCGAAACUAACUUCUUUCCUUUAGUUUGUUCUUCGACCCUGGCUACUAACAAAAUGCAACCAACCCCCCCUGAAUGACCAACCAGCACCAACCAACCUCUCAGGCCCCAGCCUUUAUACACCCUCUGAAAAGUUUCCAGAAUUCCAAAUGUCACACAAUCGCAGAAACUAUCUGCAGCUGGCAAAGCCAUGCCUCUGCUAGAACGUGAGGUAAAUCACAGUCAGCGACAGACUGCAGACAGUCCGAAGAAGCCACAUAUCCUACACCUGGGAUUAAAAUGCAAGCAUACUCUUAAAAUAUUUCUCUCUCUCUCUCUCUCUCUCUCUCUCUCUCUCUCUGUGUGUGUGUGUGUGUGUGUGUGUUUAAAGAAACCAGAAUUCCACUACACACAUCAGUGUCUCACAUUCAGUUAAGGGAAGAUGGUAUCCUCUCCCAUUGACAAUGGAGGAAAAUACACUUCAGAGACAUGAGGAACUUGGCAGAAUUCCAGAAUCAGCUGGACUCAGGCUUUCAAAGCCCAAGAGCUUGAGUACCACAUGCACCUUCGCUGGCUCUUGAAUUCUUACCUACCUACCCAGAGCACCUCUUACCAAACCUGUUUUCUACCUCAGGCCUUUCUCUCCUGGUCACCUGUGGGCUUCAGUCUGGAGGAGAUGUCACUCCCUCCACAGUUGGCUUCCUUUGCUUCCUCAUCUUCUUGCCCAGCCUCCCUGGAGCCAGCUCCCAAAUCAACAGUAUUUACAUGUAUGGGGUCUCAGAGUCUGCUCCGCUCCGGGGACAGGAGAAAAGAACACUAUGGUGCAAGUCACUUCCUUAUUCCGGAAGACUUUCAGCCGGGCAGAAACCCAAGGUUGUGUGUGCCUGGAAGAGGCAGAGUUGGUGUGUGUGUGUGUGUAUAUGCAUACAUGUGCAUGUGUAUGUGUGCAUGUAUGUGCAUGCGUGUAUGUGCAUGUAUGUAUGUGCAUGUGUGUGUGUGUGUGUGUGUUUCUCUGUGUGUGAUAGUAGACAGGACCAGCCUCCAUGGUACAAGCCUUGGGUAGACAUAGGUUUCUGCUACUCUCUGCCACGGUGAGGGGAACAAUUGAAGGGAGGAAUUGUCUACUUUGCUCAUGGUUUCCAGGGACACAGCCUAUGGUCAUGUGACUCCAUGUGCCUGAGCAGAAUAUAAUGAUGGUAGAAGUAUAUAGUGAAAGGACAUCUUUACAUCGUGGUAGACAGGAAGUAGGAGUGGGAGGCGGUGAACAGAACAGAUACACCCUCAGGGACACAGCUCUAGCAACCUACUUCCUCUAGUUGGACCUCAGCUCCUAAAUUUCUAGAACUUUCCAAAAUGGCAUCACGGACUAGAGGAUAAACCUCUUAACAUGAGUCUUUGAGGAGGACACUCAUAUCCAAAUCUCAACACCACCUCUGAUUAUGCCUGCUUGCUAAACAGCUCCAGAUUCUCUUUCUCCUGCUGCCACCAAGGAGGUAGUCAAGAAUUUCUGGGUCUUUGAACUGUUUCCUCCCUAUGUCAACCCCUUCCGGGUCAUCUACACUCUCUCAGCAGCACAGGAGCCAGCUGCAGCUCAAGAGGGCUUGUGUCUCUCUGCUUCACUAUGGAGGAUGUCUCAGAAGCCACCACCUCUGGUCCCUCAGUCAUCGUUCUCAGGUUGGAGGGCCUUCAAUCACUCAGCUGCUUCUUCAGGUGACAGCUCAGAUUGCUAGCAAGAGAACAACAUAUUUUGGAAGUGAUAUGUCAUUUCUCAUGUUUGGUCUGUUUUACUUCAGCUCCAAAACACCCUUUUGGCCCCUGAUCAAGACCAUAUUGAUGGUACAAGUUUACUGCCUGACUCAGACCGCAUCAACCACGGCUUCCCAACACCCACCCUCCUCCACACCAGUGAAGACAACACUCACAUAAGAGCCCUCCUGGCCUGGAUAGCCAAUAUCUAACACCUUUAUUUAUUUAGCGGGAAAGCAAGCAUUACCAUGGUGGGUUUCAUAGUAACCUCCUAAACAUAUGUUCACCUGGCUCUCGUAAAUGUGACCUUAACACAAGGAAAGACGAUUUGCAGAUGUGACUGAACUAGAAUCUCAAGAGUAGGUCUCGGUAGAUGACUCAGUUAUUCAUAAGCAAACUGCAAGUAUCCUGAGACACAGGCAGGAAGACAGGCAGAAAAGGCCAGGCAAAGAAAGUGUAUAGAUUGAGUUGAUGUGCCCAGAAGCCAAGGAAUGCCAGAUUUAUCAGACAUCAGAAAAAUCGAUGAACAGGACUCCAGCAGAGCACCCAUACAGUGCAGCAGCCCUGUCCGUGCCUUGGUUUCAAUGUCUGGCCUGUGAACAGAGCACCAUUAUCUGUUGUCAUAAGCUACGUGGCUUCAGGUAAUUUAUUAUAGCAGCCACAGAAAUACGGCCAGCUAACAAAUGUUGGUGCUAAUGAUGUUUUGAAGGCUGUAACCACUUAAGCUUUGUACUGUUACUCUAAGGUAAAGAUUAGUUUUGCUCUUUUAUGGGCAAGGGAGUUGAGAAAAGGAGUUCAAAAGACUUUCCCAAAUCCACUUAGUGAGGAAAUGGUUGCUCAUGGCUUGGUAUCCAAACUGAUUCCAGAGCCUGCUAACCACGGCUCUCUUCCUUCUCCAAGGGGAAUUCCAAGUUGAAUCCCACACCUCCCGCCCUGCAUGUGCAGUAUUAGGGGAACACAGUUCCCUGCCUCACACCACAGUCCCCUGGCCGCCCUUGGUGAACAGGCAGCACACAUGCCCGAGAGGGCUGAGUUAAUUGGGCUCUAAAUCUGCAGGGAGGGAGACAAAAACCACAGGGUGGUUAAUUUAUUCCUGGCGGUGGCAGCGGUGGCAUGCUAGACAGAUGCUUUCUGUUAGAGUCCCCGUGCUUCCCGCUGCCCACUCACCACUGCAAGUGCUCGCUGGGUGCCUGCCUGUCUCCUCAGCUCCAGCCUCUGGUCCCAGGGUCUGUCCUGGUCCCCACUUCACUUCGGCUCAGUUCAGAGCCAGUUUCUGUUAUUUCGCAGCAAGAGUUGGACUGGUUCAGACAGGAGUUGAUGGUUGUGAGAGCCAGGGAAGACAAAUACCUCAAUGCCAUGAUCGGUUGCCCCGUGUCUACAAGGCCAGCACUUGGGCAGACCACACUCCCUCACAUCCGUCUGUUUUGUAAUGGCCACUCAGAGGUCAUGGCCACCCCUCUGCUUGUUGCAAGAAAAACUAGUGAGAACUCUGACAGUCCGGAGAAGACUUCAGGAAACUUUGUCGAAGACCUUCUGUCUCUCUGAGUUCCUCUGAGGGAGAUAGAUAGCUGCCAUCUUCCCUCGUCCCUUUAAUGAGUCUUGAAGUUCCAUUCUAGCUGUCACUGCAUACUUCCUACCCACCAGCCCCCUGAACUUAAUACUCUCACAAUGGUGCAUUAAACACACAGCACCCCACCGCCGUGCGCCUUCAGGCUUCGAGAGAUCCCAUUAAUCUGCGUCCCUGUGGCUGUUGUGCAGUGCUGAGUCAGGUUCUUCCGUCACUGACAGCUAAAUCAUCCCCAGAAUUUCCAGUAUCCCUAGUGGAAGUGCAUGAUUCCCGGGUAGCUGCACAUAUGCUAUCCUGGAGGAACCCAAGUGUACUCUCAUGGUCCUUUCAGUAAAAGGGCAACAUCCCAACCCCCACAGAAAGAAGCCUCUUUGCCAAAGUAAAGGCAAAACCUUCACACACAGCCUCUGUCUCUCCUGCCCUGGGAGCCAUGACUGGCCUGGCCCAUUUUCACCCUGGCUUCUCCUAUCAGUUCUGGCCCAGGAGCUAGAGAAGCGCCUUGCUUUCCGAUGUGGACUUCUUCCUCAGCAGCCGCUGUGUGGGACAAAUACAAUCCAGAAACACAUUGAUUGGAUUCAGCUUGCCGGUGUGAACUUCUAUAACAUGGAGAAUUUAUGACUGAAAAUGCAGCUUGGCCCGAAUGCAGAGACCACUGACUUGGAAAGGAGAUUCACUAUCAUCGUGGCCAUUGUGAUUGUCACUGUCACUAACACAUUUUCAGAGCGGACCACAAGUACUUCUAAGCAAGAGCUCAGUUCAUCCCAUGACACAUUGAGGUCAUCCAUAGAGGAGGAAACUAAGGUUCCGAGUCAUUAUAUACUCAAAUCGCAUGACUAGGAUGUGGCAGAGAUGGGGAUUGAACUCAGGCAUUCUGGCCCCAAAGCCCAGGCUGCAGCAAUUCCAGCUUAAAGUCUCUCUUCUUCUUAUCUGAGUGUCAGCUGUACAGGCAUGGAUAAACGGAAGUUCUGAGAGAUUAUUCUGGCUGUCAGUAAAUCACAGGCCAUAAGAAUGCAAAACCAA